This 443-nucleotide ribosomal RNA is filed under the name uncultured bacterium. RNAcentral describes it as "partial 16S ribosomal RNA". It matches the Rfam family "Bacterial small subunit ribosomal RNA", at positions 338 to 795 of the family's 1533-position model. The record is from RNAcentral.
CCUACGGGAGGCAGCAGUGGGGAAUAUUGGGCAAUGGGCGCAAGCCUGACCCAGCAACGCCGCGUGAAGAAAGAAGGCUCUCGGGUUGUAAACUUCUUUUAUCAGGGACGAAGCAAGUGACGGUACCUGAUGAAUAAGCAACGGCUAACUACGGGCCAGCAGCCGCGGUAAUACGUAGGUGGCAAGCGUUAUCCGGAUUUACUGGGUGUAAAGGGCGGGUAGGCGGGAAAGCAAGUCAGAUGUGAAAACCAGGGGCUCAACCUGUGGCCUGCAUUUGAAACUGUUUUUCUUGAGUACUGGAGAGGCAGCCGGAAUUCCUCGUGUAGCGGUGACAUGCGUAGAUAUUCGGAGGCACACCAGUGGCGAAGGCGGUCUGCUGGACUGCAACUGCCGCUGCGGCUCGACAGCGUGGGGAGCAAACAGGAUUAGAUACCCGGGUAGUC